This 468-nucleotide ribosomal RNA is filed under the name uncultured bacterium. RNAcentral describes it as "partial 16S ribosomal RNA". It matches the Rfam family "Bacterial small subunit ribosomal RNA", at positions 28 to 507 of the family's 1533-position model. The record is from RNAcentral.
GACGAACGCUGGCGGCGUGCUUAACACAUGCCAGUCGAACGGAAAGGCCCUGCUUUUGUGGGGUGCUCGAGUGGCGAACGGGUGAGUAACACGUGAGUAACCUGCCCUUGACUUUGGGAUAACUUCAGGAAACUGGGGCUAAUACCGGAUAGGAGCUCCUGCUGCAUGGUGGGGGUUGGAAAGUUUCGGCGGUUGGGGAUGGACUCGCGGCUUAUCAGCUUGUUGGUGGGGUAGUGGCUUACCAAGGCUUUGACGGGUAGCCGGCCUGAGAGGGUGACCGGCCACAUGGGGACUGAGAUACGGCCCAGACUCCUACGGGAGGCAGCAGUGGGGAAUAUGGCAGAAUGGGCGGAAGCCUGAUGCAGCAACGCCGCGUGCGGGAUGACGGCCUUCGGGUUGUAAACCGCUGUCGCCUGUGACGAAGCGUGAGUGACGGUAAUGGGUAAAGAAGCACCGGCUAACUACGUG